RNAcentral lists this unclassified non-coding RNA (400 nucleotides) under uncultured fungus. RNAcentral describes it as "sequence contains ITS1". The stretch from base 1 to 107 matches the Rfam family "5.8S ribosomal RNA", at positions 50 to 154 of the family's 154-position model. Lineage: Eukaryota; Fungi. The record is from RNAcentral.
GAAAUGCGAUACUUAAUGUGAAACGCAACGCAGUGUGAAUCAUCAAGGUUUCGAACGCACAUUGCGCUAUUCCAGUCUUCUGGAACAGCAUGCCUGUUUGAGCAUCGUUUCAAAACUCAACCUUCCCUCAUACGGUGGGUUGGACGUUGAGUGCCCUACUUGUCAAAGAGUAGGCCACUUGAAAUGGAGAUCCCUUUCUGGACGCCUUGCAUCUAUUGAUCAGGCAUCUUGUGCUGUGACGGAGUUUACACUCCCCCGACACUCGAGUCUUGACCAUAGCUUGGUAUCAUCAUUCAUUGAAGGAAAGGAUCGUCACUACCUCAACACGCUCUUUCUCUCGCGAGGGAGGGAGUGCGUGUUUCAAAUCGCGAUCUCGAAUCAGGUAAGGCCACCCGCUGAA